CCUACGGGUGGCAGCAGUGAGGAAUAUUGGUCAAUGGCCGAGAGCCUGAACCAGCCAAGUAGCGUGAGGGAUGACGGCCCUACGGGUUGUAAACCUCUUUUAUCGGGGAGUAAAGUGCGGCACGUGUCCCUUCUCGAGUGUACCUUGUGAAUAAGCAUCGGCUAACUCCGUGCCAGCAGCCGCGGUAAUACGGAGGAUCCGAGCGUUAUCCGGAUUUAUUGGGUUUAAAGGGUGCGUCGAUGGGAGGUGAAGUCCGGUGGUAAAGUUGGCGGGUCAACCUUCAACGGGCAGUUGAUACUGGGAGUCUUGAGUAGACGAGAGGUACGCGGAAUGCGUGGUGUAGCGGUGAAAUGCAUAGAUAUCACGCAGAACUCCGAUUGCGAAGGCAGCUUACCAAAGCGCAACUGACACUGAUGCACGAAAGCGUGGGUAUCGAACAGGAUUAGAUACCCCUGUAGUC
RNAcentral lists this ribosomal RNA (460 nucleotides) under uncultured bacterium. RNAcentral describes it as "partial 16S ribosomal RNA". It matches the Rfam family "Bacterial small subunit ribosomal RNA", at positions 338 to 795 of the family's 1533-position model. The record is from RNAcentral.